GGCCCAGCUUGCUGGGUACUCGAGUGGCGAACGGGUGAGUAACACGUGGGUGAUCUGCCCUGCACUCUGGGAUAAGCCUGGGAAACUGGGUCUAAUACCGGAUAUGACCAACUGUCGCAUGGUGGUUGGUGGAAAGCUUUUGCGGUGUGGGAUGGGCCCGCGGCCUAUCAGCUUGUUGGUGGGGUAAUGGCCUACCAAGGCGACGACGGGUAGCCGACCUGAGAGGGUGAUCGGCCACACUGGGACUGAGACACGGCCCAGACUCCUACGGGAGGCAGCAGUGGGGAAUAUUGCACAAUGGGCGCAAGCCUGAUGCAGCGACGCCGCGUGAGGGAUGACGGCCUUCGGGUUGUAAACCUCUUUCACCAGGGACGAAGCGUGAGUGACGGUACCUGGAGAAGAAGCACCGGCCAACUACGUGCCAGCAGCCGCGGUAAUACGUAGGGUGCGAGCGUUGUCCGGAAUUACUGGGCGUAAAGAGCUCGUAGGCGGUUUGUCGCGUCGUCUGUGAAAUUCUGCAACUCAAUUGCAGGCGUGCAGGCGAUACGGGCAGACUUGAGUACUACAGGGGAGACUGGAAUUCCUGGUGUAGCGGUGAAAUGCGCAGAUAUCAGGAGGAACACCGGUGGCGAAGGCGGGUCUCUGGGUAGUAACUGACGCUGAGGAGCGAAAGCGUGGGUAGCGAACAGGAUUAGAUACCCUGGUAGUCCACGCCGUAAACGGUGGGUACUAGGUGUGGGUUCCUUUUC
This 749-nucleotide ribosomal RNA is filed under the name Gordonia sp. (in: high G+C Gram-positive bacteria). RNAcentral's name for it is "bacterial SSU rRNA". It matches the Rfam family "Bacterial small subunit ribosomal RNA", at positions 72 to 835 of the family's 1533-position model. The record is from RNAcentral. Lineage: Bacteria; Bacillati; Actinomycetota; Actinomycetes; Mycobacteriales; Gordoniaceae.